AACGCGAAGAACCUUACCCACCUUUGACAUGUACGGAAGUGACCAGAGAUGGACAUGUGCUCGAAAGAGAACCGUAACACAGGUGCUGCAUGGCUGUCGUCAGCUCGUGUCGUGAGAUGUUGGGUUAAGUCCCGCAACGAGCGCAACCCUUGCCAUUAGUUGCUACGAAAGGGCACUCUAAUGGGACUGCCGGUGACAAACCGGAGGAAGGUGGGGAUGACGUCAAGUCCUCAUGGCCCUUAUAGGUGGGGCUACACACGUCAUACAAUGGCUGGUACAAAGGGUUGCCAACCCGCGAGGGGGAGCUAAUCCCAUAAAGCCAGUCGUAGUCCGGAUCGCAGUCUGCAACUCGACUGCGUGAAGUCGGAAUCGCUAGUAAUCGUGGAUCAGAAUGUCACGGUGAAUACGUUCCCGGGCCUUGUACACACCGCGCAUA
RNAcentral lists this ribosomal RNA (436 nucleotides) under uncultured bacterium. Its description in RNAcentral is "bacterial SSU rRNA". It matches the Rfam family "Bacterial small subunit ribosomal RNA", at positions 958 to 1398 of the family's 1533-position model. The record is from RNAcentral.